This is a long non-coding RNA of Myzus persicae (green peach aphid), 1269 nucleotides long. RefSeq lists it as uncharacterized. The transcript is spliced from 6 exons. NCBI's taxonomy places the organism in Eukaryota, Metazoa, Arthropoda, Insecta, Hemiptera, Aphididae. The record is from RefSeq and is a predicted model, not a curated record.
CUAAUAAAGUGCGUUUCUAUUUUUAUUUUAAUGAUCUAUGACAUAAUUUUUGAGUCAAUACUAAACAUAUUAAUUGAUCAACCUUGAAACUUUAGUGUUGCAUUAAAUAUUAUAUUUUAAUUAAUAUUUUAUUUUAAGCAAACACUUAACAGUAGUAGUAUACAGUACUUACUAGUUUCAGUAUUUAUGAUAGUCAGGGGCAUUACGAAUAUUUAUGCUCUCCGUCCAUACAUAACGACUUAUGCUGUUUAUAUUCAUACAUUUUUUUAACUUAUUCGAGGUGGUUACAAUUUCAUCUGGACAAAACAGAAUUUACAGACGAAAUUCCUUUCAUUGUAAAUUCAUUAGGGAGUACAUAAACGACACUUUUUACCUAGACAUAUAGUGUUCUCCAAAACGGACCUUGCCAUAGUACCAGUGUUCAAUAUGGUGAGUGUGCCAAAAAACAACCAAAAAGUCGGUAACUUGAUCACAUCCACGUCGGAGAUUUCCGUUUUAACGCUAGUGCCCGGUAUAAACAUCAGUACACAAACAAUUAUAGCACCGACAAAGGGUCUUAUAAAUAACGCUGGAAUUGGAAUUAAUGUGAAGACUAAGCCAACGACGACAGACGAAUAGCCCCUCUGCAUCGAUAUUGUUGACAAGAAUGGAACUAUCGGAGCAGAACCUGAAUGAAAAGCGUAGAUAAAUCAAUACCACAUAAUACGAAUCGAGUCUUACAUAGUACAAUUACCGCCAAUAAUAGUUGGAAAAAAUCGACUUACUUGUAAAAGUAAGACAAUCAAAUAUUUUAAGUGAUUGUUACAUCUAAAAUGCUAGAGAAUAAAGUAGAGACGCUCAGGCAGUUGACGUGCUGUGAUAAACUAUAAUGAUCACACAGUGCAUUGAAUAUGAAGUGAUAAAACACGACUUUCACAGGUUUAUAGACUUUUAAAUAACACUAAGACGUAUCACCGAAAAUACAUAUAUUCAAGACAACGGAAAAAAAAGAAGCUGCUAAGUGAAUGUCUCUCUGCUAUACAUUUGGUGUCUAGGAAGUCGCUGUAAUGGAUGGUAUUAAAUUUGAAUUCAAUGAUAUCAUAUAUUCAUGUUAUUGUGUACGAAAAAACGAAUCUGAGGCGGAGACGGAAUGAUAAAAAAAGGAAAAUAGAAAUGUCCGUCAACAACCUAAAACGUGUCAGAAUAUUUUGAAAAUUUUAUCAAGUAUACCAAAUAAUAAAAUAAACAUUUGGUGUAAAUUUCAAGUGUCUACAGUAAUUCGUUUUUGAA